GCUAAGAAUCUUCCGCAAUGGGGGAAACCCUGACGGAGCGACGCCGCGUGGACGAAGAAGGCCGCAAGGUUGUAAAGUCCUUUUGCGGGCGAAGAAUAAGCAGGGGAGUGGAACGCUCCUGCGAUGACGUUAGCCUGCGAAUAAGCCCCGGCCAAUUACGUGCCAGCAGCCGCGGUAACACGUAUGGGGCAAGCGUUGUUCGGAAUUACUGGGCGUAAAGGGCGUGUAGGCGGUUCAGUAAGCCUGGCGUGAAAGUCUCCGGCCCAACCGGGGGACGGCGCUGGGAACUGCGGGACUGGAGUCUUGGAGGGGGAGCUGGAAUUCCAGGUGUAGGGGUGAAAUCUGUAGAGAUCUGGAAGAACACCGGUGGCGAAGGCGAGCUCCUGGCCAAUGACUGACGCUGAGGCGCGAAAGCGUGGGGAGCAAACAGGAUUAGAAACCCGGGUAGUCC
RNAcentral lists this ribosomal RNA (451 nucleotides) under uncultured bacterium. RNAcentral describes it as "bacterial SSU rRNA". It matches the Rfam family "Bacterial small subunit ribosomal RNA", at positions 354 to 796 of the family's 1533-position model. The record is from RNAcentral.